This 71-nucleotide transfer RNA is filed under the name Mycoplasmopsis bovigenitalium. RNAcentral's name for it is "Mycoplasma bovigenitalium tRNA-Thr". It matches the Rfam family "tRNA". Rfam says of the family: Transfer RNA (tRNA) molecules are approximately 80 nucleotides in length. Their secondary structure includes four short double-helical elements and three loops (D, anti-codon, and T loops). Further hydrogen bonds mediate the characteristic L-shaped molecular structure. tRNAs have two regions of fundamental functional importance: the anti-codon, which is responsible for specific mRNA codon recognition, and the 3' end, to which the tRNAs corresponding amino acid is attached (by aminoacyl-tRNA synthetases). tRNAs cope with the degeneracy of the genetic code in two manners: having more than one tRNA (with a specific anti-codon) for a particular amino acid; and 'wobble' base-pairing, i.e. permitting non-standard base-pairing at the 3rd anti-codon position. The record is from RNAcentral. RNAcentral also lists the same sequence under 1 other name. Lineage: Bacteria; Bacillati; Mycoplasmatota; Mycoplasmoidales; Metamycoplasmataceae.
GCCGGAUUCGCUUAGUGGUAAAGCAGCUGACUCGUAAUCAGUAGCCACGAGUUCGAUUCUCGUAUUCGGCA